UAUAGCGAUAGGAGGGGCACCAGGAGAACUGAAACAUCUAAGUAUCCUGAGGAAAAUAAAUCGUAAGAGAUUCCGUUAGUAGCGGCGAGCGAACGCGGAACAGCCUAAACCCGAACAAAUUUCGCAAGAAAUUUGCGCGGGGGUUGUGGGGCGGGAGAUAUGGGAGUAUUUCAAGUAGGAGAACAUCUCGGAAUAGGUGGCCAAAGAGAGUGAAAGCCUCGUAUCCGAAAUUUGACAUACCUCUAUCCCGUUCCCAAGUACCGUGGGACACGAAGGUACUGCGGGAAGCUGGGGGAACCAUCCUCCAAGGCUAAAUACAUGAGUGCACCGAUAGUGAACGAGUACCGUGAGGGAAAGGUGAAAAGCACCCCGGAAGGGGAAUGAAAUAGUACCUGAAAUUGUCAGCUAACAAACAGAUAGAGCUUGUCCUUCGGACAAGAAACCUCAACCAAAUCACAAUGACCAAAUCACAAUGACCAACGUGGAAAGAAGAUUUUUAUACAAACUCUUCACACCUUGUUGGAUAUUGGGAUUUGUGAAUUGGGAUUUGAUAUUGGGAUUUCUCAUCCGAAGGAUGAGUAAUAUCGUGCCUAUUGAAGAAUGAACCGGUGAGUUCUUCUGUGCUGCGUGCUUAACCCCGCUAAGCGGGGGGAGGCAAAGUGAAAGCGAGGGUGAAUAGCCCGUUUGUAGCACGGAUGAGACCCGAAACCGGGUGAGCUAACCAUGGGCAGGGUGAAGGUCGAAGAAAUUCGACUGGAGGCCCGAACCCGUCAGAGUUUCAAAUCUGUGGGACGACCUGUGGUUAGGGGUAAUAUGCCUAUCGAACCCGGAGAUAGCUGGUUCUCCCCGAAAUAUAUUUUGGUAUAGCGGUCGAUCAAGUGAUGGAGUGGUAGAGCACUGAAUGAUAACGGUUUCGCAAGGAACCGUCUUCAAUCAAACUCCGAAUACUCACAUCGUUAUUCGGCCAGUCAGACAUGUGGGGCUAAGCUCAUGUGUCGAAAGGGAAACAGCCCUGACUCACAUCUAAGGCCUCUAAUUCUUUGCUCAGUGGUUAAGGAAGUCAUGGUUUACAGACACCCAGGAGGUUGGCUUAGAAGCAGCCAUCCUUUAAAGAAAGCGUAACAGCUCACUGGAUGAAAGCCGUGGCGCCGAAAAUGAACGAGGCUUAAGCAAAGAGCCGAAGAUUGAGAUGCCACCGCAAGGUGGCGUGGUAGGGGAGCGUUCUGUUUGCAGUGAAGGUGCCGCUGUAAGGCGGGCUGGAGC
Molecule: ribosomal RNA, 1263 nt
Filed under: Candidatus Gottesmanbacteria bacterium
Lineage: Bacteria; Candidatus Gottesmaniibacteriota
Description: partial 23S ribosomal RNA
Rfam family: Bacterial large subunit ribosomal RNA
Source: RNAcentral